AUACGUAGGUGGCGAGCGUUGUCCGGAAUUACUGGGCGUAAAGGGUGCGUAGGCGGAUAUUUAAGUCAGAUGUGAAAUUCCCGGGCUUAACCUGGGAGCUGCAUUUGAUACUGGAUAUCUAGAGUGCGGGAGAGGAAAGUGGAAUUCCUAGUGUAGCGGUGAAAUGCGUAGAGAUUAGGAAGAACACCAGUGGCGAAGGCGACUUUCUGGACCGUAACUGGCGCUGAGAUACGAAAGCGUGGGGAGC
This 247-nucleotide ribosomal RNA is filed under the name uncultured bacterium. Its description in RNAcentral is "partial 16S ribosomal RNA". It matches the Rfam family "Bacterial small subunit ribosomal RNA", at positions 523 to 769 of the family's 1533-position model. The record is from RNAcentral.